GUUUUUUUCUAUUUGUAAUGUCAUUUCUAUCGCGGAAAAGUGGUUAUUCUUUUAACAAUUUUAAUUGAAUCGAAUGAAAAAUUCAGAAAGAUUGUCUUUUGAAUAGCAAUACAUUUUAAUAACAGAUAAUCAGGAUAUAAUUAUAUACCCUCCGCACCCGACCCUUUUGUGAGUUAUGUUAAUGUUAUUCAAUAGAAUAUAAGAUUAUCUUAUUAGUUGAUC
Molecule: long non-coding RNA, 222 nt
Filed under: Mytilus galloprovincialis (Mediterranean mussel)
Lineage: Eukaryota; Metazoa; Mollusca; Bivalvia; Mytilida; Mytilidae
Source: RNAcentral